RNAcentral lists this ribosomal RNA (378 nucleotides) under Triticum aestivum (bread wheat). Its description in RNAcentral is "partial small subunit ribosomal RNA". The record is from RNAcentral. Lineage: Eukaryota; Viridiplantae; Streptophyta; Magnoliopsida; Poales; Poaceae.
AUGUCAAAGAUUCAACCAGUUAAAUCACCCACUGAUGCCGGAGACAUCCUGGAUGGAAUGGAUACUGUAUUGAAUAGUCAAUUCAUGUGCAUGGUGGAAAGGAUUCUUGAAAAUAAGGUUCAUGUUGGUGAUACGCUACAAGUUGCUCAAGAUGUAUCAUGCCUACUGCAUAGUACACCAGUCAAUGAGGCCUUUCCUAGCGACAUGUCAAAAUAUGGACGGAUUCGCUUGAAGGGAAGGAGGAUGCUGCAUGCAGCAUGCGUAGCACACCGGCAUCAUCUUGUGGCAGUACUACUAAGAGACCUGGACCUACAACGGUUGUCACAAUGGUGUGAAGUUGGAUGGCAUCGAUGCCAGUGUCAUGGUGCAAUUGAGUAA